GCUCUCGUAGUUCAAUGGAUAGAACGGAGGUUUCCUAAACCUUAAAUCCAGGUCCGAUUCCUGGCGAGAGCA
This 72-nucleotide transfer RNA is filed under the name bacterium. RNAcentral describes it as "tRNA-Arg". It matches the Rfam family "tRNA". Rfam says of the family: Transfer RNA (tRNA) molecules are approximately 80 nucleotides in length. Their secondary structure includes four short double-helical elements and three loops (D, anti-codon, and T loops). The record is from RNAcentral.